GCGUAGGCGAGUGAAAUUGGGCUCAGAAUUUUCGUGGGGCCCAAGCAUCAAUUUAGAGGCAUUUAGUGACUUUGUGAUUUCGUAUGUAGGUGGCCAUGUUUUAAAUGCAGAGAGGCCCAUGCAAUAAGGUCAAACUUGAUUUAAUAAAUGAAUUAGCACUAGUGGCCUUAAAUAGUUUAAUCUGCUUUUUUCUUCUCUCUGAAAGUCGAUGGGAUCGAGAAGUUUCCCAUUUUCAGAUUUUGAGAUUUUGAAGUUUCAGAGACUUUCUCCUCGCCGCCUCGCCAAAUCGAAAGUUAUGUUGCGUUGAGUGAAGAGCUAUUCACAACAAUUUUCUUUUUAGAGCGCUGGCGGCGGAGAUGGUGGACAAUGUGCCGUUCUCGCCAAUUUUCGAAUGCAGCGGCGGCAGCGCGGCGGUUUCGCCGUCUCGAGUUUGGAGGCGGUGGUGGCGGAGACAGCCAUUCAUGGCGACGGUGAUUCCAGGAGGAGCUAUAGCUCGACUCUUUGGCGGAUAUGUUUCCGACGACUUGAGGUCGCAAAGACGGAGGGGGGCGAAGGUAAUCACUGUCCGUUGCCUUGUUGAAGAAACGGAGAUCAGUCGUGGCGGGGAUUUCUGCCCCAUUGUUGGUCGGAUUUAUGGUGAAGCUACUUCAGCCUAUUUAUUAUCUCCCUUUUUUUUUUUUUUUUUAAUUUGAGAGGGA
This 698-nucleotide long non-coding RNA is filed under the name Salvia miltiorrhiza (redroot sage). RNAcentral describes it as "long non-coding RNA (SMIL_LNC011044)". Lineage: Eukaryota; Viridiplantae; Streptophyta; Magnoliopsida; Lamiales; Lamiaceae. The record is from RNAcentral.